GAUGAACGCUGGCGGCGUGCCUAAUACAUGCAAGUCGAGCGAACAGAUGAGGAGCUUGCUCCUCUGACGUUAGCGGCGGACGGGUGAGUAACACGUGGAUAACCUACCUAUAAGACUGGGAUAACUGCGGGAAACCGGAUCUAAUACCGGAUAAUAUAUUGAACCGCAUGGUUCAAUAGUGAAAGACGGUUUUGCUGUCACUUAUAGCUUGAUCCGCGCCUGAUUAGCUAGUUGGUAAGGUAACGGCUUACCAAGGCAACGAUGCGUAGCCGACCUGUGCGGGUGUAGGGCCACAGUGGAACUGAGAGACGGUCCAGACUCCGAGGGGAGGCAGCGGCAGGGAAGCGUCGGAGAUGGGCGGAAGCUUGCAGGAGCAACGCCGCGCGAGUGAUGAAGGGCUGCGGGUCGGAAAACUGUGUUAUUAGGGAAGAACAAAUGUGUAAGUAACUAUGCACGUCUUGACGGUACCUAAUCAGAAAGCCACGGCUAACUACGUG
This 497-nucleotide ribosomal RNA is filed under the name uncultured bacterium. RNAcentral's name for it is "partial 16S ribosomal RNA". It matches the Rfam family "Bacterial small subunit ribosomal RNA", at positions 28 to 507 of the family's 1533-position model. The record is from RNAcentral.